UUAAGUGACUAAGCGUACAAGGUGGAUGCCUUGGCAAUCAGAGGCGAGGAAGGACGUGCUAAUCUGCGAAAAGCUUGGAUGAGUCGAUAAGAGGCGUUUAAUCCAAGAUGUCCGAAUGGGGAAACCCAGUAGAUGAAGAAUCUACUAUCACUUACUGAAUCCAUAGGUAAGUGAGGCAAACCGGGAGAACUGAAACAUCUAAGUACCCCGAGGAAAAGAAAUCAACCGAGAUUUCGUUAGUAGCGGCGAGCGAACGCGAAGGAGCCUGUUAGUGAUAAUGACAGAGACAGAGGAACAAGCUGGGAAGCUUGGCGAUACAGGGUGAUAGCCCCGUACUCGAAGUCCAGGUCAUGGUACUAAGCUAACGACAAGUAGGGCGGGACACGUGAUAUCCUGUUUGAAGAUGGGGGGACCAUCCUCCAAGGCUAAAUACUCCUGAUUGACCGAUAGUGAACCAGUACUGUGAAGGAAAGGCGAAAAGAACCCCGGUGAGGGGAGUGAAAUAGAACCUGAAACCUUGUACGUACAAGCAGUGGGAGCCCUUUUGGGGUGACUGCGUACCUUUUGUAUAAUGGGUCAGCGACUUAUAUUUUGUAGCGAGGUUAACCGAAUAGGGGAGCCGAAGGGAAACCGAGUCUUAACUGGGCGUCUAGUUGCAAGGUAUAGACCCGAAACCCGGUGAUCUAGCCAUGGGCAGGUUGAAGGUUGGGUAACACUAACUGGAGGACCGAACCGACUAAUGUUGAAAAAUUAGCGGAUGACUUGUGGCUGGGGGUGAAAGGCCAAUCAAACCGGGAGAUAGCUGGUUCUCCCCGAAAUCUAUUUAGGUAGAGCCUUGAGCGGACACCUUCGGGGGUAGAGCACUGUUUCGGCUAGGGGUCCAUCCCGGAUUACCAACCCGAUGCAAACUACGAAUACCGAAGAGUGAUACUCAGGAGACACACGGCGGGUGCUAACGUCCGUCGUGGAGAGGGAAACAACCCAGACCGCCAGCUAAGGUCCCAAAGUCUAUAUUAAGUGGGAAACGAAGUGGGAAGGCUUAGACAGCUAGGAUGUUGGCUUAGAAGCAGCCAUCAUUUAAAGAAAGCGUAAUAGCUCACUAGUCGAGUCGGCCUGCGCGGAAGAUGUAACGGGGCUCAAAUAUAGCACCGAAGCUGCGGCAUCAGACGAAAGUCUGUUGGGUAGGGGAGCGUUCUGUAAGCGGAUGAAGGUGAAUCGAGAGGUUUGCUGGACGUAUCAGAAGUGCGAAUGCUGACAUAAGUAACGAUAAAACGGGUGAAAAACCCGUUCGCCGGAAGACCAAGGGUUCCUGUCCAACGUUAAUCGGGGCAGGGUGAGUCGGCCCCUAAGGCGAGGCUGAAAAGCGUAGUCGAUGGGAAACGGGUUAAUAUUCCCGUACUUGGAUAAACUGCGAUGUGGGGACGGAGCAGGUUAGGUUAUCGCACUGUUGGAUAUGUGCGUUUAAGUUGGUAGGUGUGAAGUUUAGGCAAAUCCGGACUUCUUUAACACCGAGAGAUGAUGACGAGGCUCUACGGAGCUGAAGUAACCGAUACCACACUUCCAGGAAAAGCCACUAAGCUUCAGGUUUAUCUAAACCGUACUGAAAACCGACACAGGUGGUCAGGUAGAGAAUACUCAGGCGCUUGAGAGAACUCGGGUGAAGGAACUAGGCAAAAUAGCACCGUAACUUCGGGAGAAGGUGCGCCGGCGUAGAUUGUAGUCCCUUGCGGAUGAAGGUUGAACCGGUCGAAGAUACCAGCUGGCUGCAACUGUUUAUUAAAAACACAGCACUCUGCAAACACGAAAGUGGACGUAUAGGGUGUGAUGCCUGCCCGGUGCUGGAAGGUUAAUUGAUGGUGUAAUCGAAAGAGAAGCUCCUGAUCGAAGCCCCAGUAAACGGCGGCCGUAACUAUAACGGUCCUAAGGUAGCGAAAUUCCUUGUCGGGUAAGUUCCGAC
RNAcentral lists this ribosomal RNA (1957 nucleotides) under human gut metagenome. RNAcentral describes it as "bacterial LSU rRNA". It matches the Rfam family "Bacterial large subunit ribosomal RNA", at positions 1 to 1987 of the family's 2925-position model. The record is from RNAcentral.